Molecule: ribosomal RNA, 744 nt
Filed under: uncultured bacterium
Lineage: Bacteria
Description: bacterial SSU rRNA
Rfam family: Bacterial small subunit ribosomal RNA
Source: RNAcentral
AGAGUUUGAUCCUGGCUCAGAACGAACGCUGGCGGCAGGCUUAACACAUGCAAGUCGAACGCUCGUAGCAAUACGGGAGUGGCAGACGGGUGAGUAACGCGUGGGAACAUACCCUCCGGUUCGGAAUAGCUCAGGGAAACUUGGAUUAAUACCGGAUACGGCUGAAAGGCGAAAGAUUUAUCGCCGGAGGAUUGGCCCGCGUUCGAUUAGCUUGUUGGUGAGGUAACGGCUCACCAAGGCGAUGAUCGAUAGCUGGUCUGAGAGGAUGAUCAGCCACAUUGGGACUGAGACACGGCCCAAACUCCUACGGGAGGCAGCAGUGGGGAAUAUUGGACAAUGGGCGCAAGCCUGAUCCAGCCAUGCCGCGUGAGUGAUGACGGCCUUAGGGUUGUAAAGCUCUUUCGCUCGGGACGAUAAUGACGGUACCGAGAUAAGAAGCCCCGGCUAACUUCGUGCCAGCAGCCGCGGUAAUACGAAGGGGGCUAGCGUUGUUCGGAAUUACUGGGCGUAAAGCGCGUGUAGGCGGGUCUUUAAGUCAGGGGUGAAAUGCCAAGGCUCAACCUUGGAACUGCCUUUGAUACUGGAGAUCUUGAGUCCGGGAGAGGUGAGUGGAAUUGCGAGUGUAGAGGUGAAAUUCGUAGAUAUUCGCAAGAACACCAGUGGCGAAGGCGGCUCACUGGCCCGGAACUGACGCUGAGACGCGAAAGCGUGGGGAGCAAACAGGAUUAGAUACCCUAGUAGUCC